CAGUAGCCACGGUAAUACGUAGGGUGCAAGCGUUAAUCGGAAUUACUGGGCGUAAAGCGUGCGCAGGCGGUUCGUUAAGACAGAUGCGAAAUCCCCGGGCUUAACCUGGGAACUGCAUUUGUGACUGGCGGGCUAGAGUAUGGCAGAGGGGGGUAGAAUUCCACGUGUAGCAGUGAAAUGCGUAGAGAUGUGGAGGAAUACCGAUGGCGAAGGCAGCCCCCUGGGCCAAUACUGACGCUCAUGCACGAAAGCGUGGGGAGCAAACAGGAUUAGAUACCCCCGUAGUCCCUGUCUCUUAUAC
Molecule: ribosomal RNA, 301 nt
Filed under: uncultured bacterium
Lineage: Bacteria
Description: partial 16S ribosomal RNA
Rfam family: Bacterial small subunit ribosomal RNA
Source: RNAcentral